Non-coding RNA from Myodes glareolus (Bank vole), 376 nucleotides. Lineage: Eukaryota; Metazoa; Chordata; Mammalia; Rodentia; Cricetidae. The record is from RefSeq and is a predicted model, not a curated record.
UACAGAUCCUUGGCACCCACUCCUGUUCCUUUCCACCUUAGUCAUUGUUCCUGUUGUUGUGACAAAAGCAAUUGAAGGACUCCGGCCCAUAGGAAUGGUGCCUGCCACACACAUUUAGGAUGCAUGUCUCUGCUUUAUUUCAUCAAGACACUACCACACAGCUCAGUGUGGCAUCCUGGCAAGCCCUGUUCUCAGAGCAGUCUGACGCAGGCGUGGAUCCUGACAAGCUGGGUGAAGGUCCUGGGUCUGCCAUGGAGAGUCGUAUGGAGAAGUCAGCCAUCACCUGUGUGCCUCAGUUUACUCAGGUGCAAAAUAGGCACAGUAAUAGGAGUCCUCCUUGGUGGCGGUUGUACUCUGAAGUAAAGACUCGACAGCA